UACAGAGGUCCCAAGCGUUGUUCGGAUUUACUGGGCGUAAAGGGUGCGUAGGUGGCGAGGUAAGUUCGAUGUGAAAUCUCCGAGCUCAACUCGGAAAUGGCAUUGAAUACUAUCCCGCUUGAGGGUCGGAGGGGAGACUGGAAUUCUCGGUGUAGCAGUGAAAUGCGUAGAUAUCGAGAGGAACACCAGUGGCGAAGGCGGCGCUCUGGGCUGCACCUGACGCUGAGAUGCGAAAGUGUGGGGAGCAAACGGG
Molecule: ribosomal RNA, 253 nt
Filed under: uncultured bacterium
Lineage: Bacteria
Description: partial 16S ribosomal RNA
Rfam family: Bacterial small subunit ribosomal RNA
Source: RNAcentral